AGUCCUGGCUCUUCCUGAAAUGGGGCCGCCAGCCCUCCAGGGCGGGCGUCCAGCUCUGGCUGGCCUCAAGGAGGGAACAGGAUGAGGACCCAGUAGGGGAGAGGCAGAAAGCCGUCGGGUCAAACUCCAAGGCAUUCUGGCUGACCUGCGGGAUGUGGAUGGGCUGCCCCCAAAAGUGACUGGCCCGCCUCCUGGCACACCCCAGCCCCGGCCACAUGAAGACGUCUUCAUCAUGGACACUAUCGGGGGCGGGGAGGUGAGCCUGGGGGACUUGGCAGAUCUCACCGUCACCAAUGACAACGACCUCAGCUGCGAUCUGUCUGACAGCAAAGAUGCUUUUAAGAAGACGUGGAACCCCAAGUUCACCCUGCGCUCGCACUACGACGGCAUUCGUUCCCUGGCCUUCCACCACAGCCAGUCGGCUCUGCUCACCGCCUCCGAGGAUGGCACGCUCAAGCUCUGGAACCUGCAGAAGGCGGUCACGGCCAAGAAGAAUGCGGCGCUAGAUGUGGAACCUAUACAUGCUUUCCGGGCUCACAGGGGCCCAGUGUUGGCUGUGGCUAUGGGCAGCAACAGUGAAUACUGCUACAGUGGCGGGGCGGAUGCCUGCAUCCAUAGUUGGAAGAUUCCAGACCUCAGCAUGGAUCCCUAUGAUGGCUACGACCCAAGCGUGCUGAGCCACGUCCUGGAGGGCCACGGGGACGCCGUGUGGGGCCUGGCCUUCAGUCCCACCUCCCAGCGCCUGGCCUCCUGCUCUGCUGAUGGCACCGUCCGCAUCUGGGACCCCAGCAGCAGCAGCCCGGCCUGCCUCUGCACCUUCCCCACAGCCAGCGAGCACGGGAUCCCCACC
RNAcentral lists this small RNA (850 nucleotides) under Pan troglodytes (chimpanzee). Its description in RNAcentral is "processed transcript". Lineage: Eukaryota; Metazoa; Chordata; Mammalia; Primates; Hominidae. The record is from RNAcentral.